AGCAGCCGCGGUAAUUCCAGCUCCAAUAGCGUAUAUUAAAGUUGUUGCAGUUAAAAAGCUCGUAGUUGAAUUUCGGGAUCAGCAGGUCGGUCGUGCCAAUGGUAUGCACUGGCCUUGCUGAUUCCUCCCUCUUGAUGAGCCGUAAUGCCAUUAAUUUGGUGUUGCGGGGAAUCAGGACUGUUACUUUGAAAAAUUAGAGUGUUUAAAGCAGGCAAGCGUUCGAAUACAUUAGCAUGGAAUAAUGAAAUAGGACGUUUAAUCCUAUUUUGUUGGUUUCUAGGAUUGACGUAAUGAUUAAUAGGGAUAGUUGGGGGCAUUAGUAUUCAAUUGUCAGAGGUGAAAUUCUUGGAUUUAUUGAAGACUAACUACUGCGAAAGCAUUUGCCAAGGAUGUUUUCAUUAAUCAAGAACGAAAGUUAGGGGAUCGAAGACGAUCAGAUACCGUCGUAGUCUUAACCAUAAACUAUAGCCGACUAGGGAUCGGAUGAUGUUAAUUUUUUAAUGACUCAUUC
Molecule: ribosomal RNA, 511 nt
Filed under: uncultured Glomus
Lineage: Eukaryota; Fungi; Glomeromycota; Glomeromycetes; Glomerales; Glomeraceae
Description: SSU rRNA
Rfam family: Eukaryotic small subunit ribosomal RNA
Source: RNAcentral